Molecule: ribosomal RNA, 484 nt
Filed under: uncultured bacterium
Lineage: Bacteria
Description: partial 16S ribosomal RNA
Rfam family: Bacterial small subunit ribosomal RNA
Source: RNAcentral
ACUCAAAUGAAUUGACGGGGACCCGCACAAGCAGUGGAGCGCCUGGUUUAAUUCGAUGAUCAGCGAAGAACCUCACCUGGGCUUGAAAUGUAGCUGCAACGCCGGUGAAAGCCGGAAUCCUUCGAGGGUGCUAUAUAGGUGCUGCAUGGCUGUCGUCAGCUCGUGUCGUGAGAUGUAGGGUUAAGUCCCACAACGAGCGCAACCCCUAUCUGAUGUUACAAUUACUUCAGAGACUGCCUCAUCUCAGUGAGGAGGAAGGAGGGGAUGACGUCCAGUCUUCAUGGCCCUUAUGUCCAGGGCUACACAGACGCUACAAUGGCUAUUACAAUGGGCUGCCAAACCGCGAGGUGGAGCUAAUCCCAUCAAAAAUAGUCUCAGUUCAGAUUGCAGGCUGCAACUCGCCUGCAUGAAGUCGGAAUUGCUAGUAAUCGUGCAUCAGCGUGGCACGGUGAAUACGUUCUCGGGUCUUGUACACACCGCCCGU